UACAGAGGCCUCGAGCGUUAAUCGGAGUCACUGGGCUUAAAGGGUGCGUAGGCGGGCCGGCAAGUGCUUUGUGAAAUCCCAUGGCUCAACCAUGGAAUUGCUUGGCAGACUGCCGGUCUUGAGGUCGGUAGAGGUCGCUGGAACUCUAGGUGGAGCGGUGAAAUGCGUAGAUAUCUAGAGGAACGCCAAUGGUGAAGACAGGCGACUGGGCCGAUUCUGACGCUGAGGCACGAAAGCGUGGGGAGCAAACGGG
This 253-nucleotide ribosomal RNA is filed under the name uncultured bacterium. Its description in RNAcentral is "partial 16S ribosomal RNA". It matches the Rfam family "Bacterial small subunit ribosomal RNA", at positions 524 to 776 of the family's 1533-position model. The record is from RNAcentral.